Molecule: ribosomal RNA, 465 nt
Filed under: Vreelandella stevensii
Lineage: Bacteria; Pseudomonadati; Pseudomonadota; Gammaproteobacteria; Oceanospirillales; Halomonadaceae
Description: partial 16S ribosomal RNA
Rfam family: Bacterial small subunit ribosomal RNA
Source: RNAcentral
CCUACGGGGCGCAGCAGUGGGGAAUAUUGGACAAUGGGCGAAAGCCUGAUCCAGCCAUGCCGCGUGUGUGAAGAAGGCCUUCGGGUUGUAAAGCACUUUCAUUGGGGAAGAAAGCCUUGGGGCUAAUACCCUCGAGGAAGGACAUCACCCACAGAAGAAGCACCGGCUAACUCCGUGCCAGCAGCCGCGGUAAUACGGAGGGUGCGAGCGUUAAUCGGAAUUACUGGGCGUAAAGCGCGCGUAGGCGGUCUGAUAAGCCGGUUGUGAAAGCCCCGGGCUCAACCUGGGAACGGCAUUCGGAACUGUCAGGCUAGAGUGCAGGAGAGGAAGGUAGAAUUCCCGGUGUAGCGGUGAAAUGCGUAGAGAUCGGGAGGAAUACCAGUGGCGAAGGCGGCCUUCUGGACUGACACUGACGCUGAGGUGCGAAAGCGUGGGUAGCAAACAGGAUUAGAUACCCCGGUAGUC